RNAcentral lists this ribosomal RNA (253 nucleotides) under uncultured bacterium. RNAcentral's name for it is "partial 16S ribosomal RNA". It matches the Rfam family "Bacterial small subunit ribosomal RNA", at positions 524 to 776 of the family's 1533-position model. The record is from RNAcentral.
UACGUAGGGUGCAAGCGUUAAUCGGAAUUACUGGGCGUAAAGCGUGCGCAGGCGGCUUUGCAAGACAGAUGUGAAAUCCCCGGGCUUAACCUGGGAACUGCAUUUGUGACUGCAUGGCUGGAGUGCGGCAGAGGGGGAUGGAAUUCCGCGUGUAGCAGUGAAAUGCGUAGAUAUGCGGAGGAACACCGAUGGCGAAGGCGGCAUCCUGGACCGGCAUUGACGCUGAGGAGCGAAAGCUAGGGGAGCAAACGGG